CAAAGUAAGAUUUACAAAUAAGUCAACAUGACCGAAAUGGUCAAUUGACCCCCUAAGGAGUUAUUGUCCUUUAUAGUCAAUUUUUAACAAUUUUCAUAAAAUUUGUAGAUUUUUACUAACAUUUUCCACUGAAACUACUUGGCCAAGUUCACUAUAAAUAGAGAUAAUUGUAAGCAGCAAGAAUGUUCAGUAAAGUAAGAUGUACAAACACAUCACCAUCACCAAAACACAAUUUUGUCAUGAAUCCAUCUGCUUCCUUUGUUUAAUAUUCACACAGACCAAGGUGAGCGACACAGGCUCUUCAGAGCCUCUAGUUUA
Molecule: long non-coding RNA, 318 nt
Filed under: Mytilus galloprovincialis (Mediterranean mussel)
Lineage: Eukaryota; Metazoa; Mollusca; Bivalvia; Mytilida; Mytilidae
Source: RNAcentral